GUGGGUAUAGCUCAGUUGGUUAGAGUGCCAGGUUGUGGCACUGGAGGUCGAGGGUUCAAAUCCCUCUACUCACCCCA
Molecule: transfer RNA, 77 nt
Filed under: Clostridia bacterium
Lineage: Bacteria; Bacillati; Bacillota; Clostridia
Description: tRNA-His
Rfam family: tRNA
About the family: Transfer RNA (tRNA) molecules are approximately 80 nucleotides in length. Their secondary structure includes four short double-helical elements and three loops (D, anti-codon, and T loops). Further hydrogen bonds mediate the characteristic L-shaped molecular structure. tRNAs have two regions of fundamental functional importance: the anti-codon, which is responsible for specific mRNA codon recognition, and the 3' end, to which the tRNAs corresponding amino acid is attached (by aminoacyl-tRNA synthetases). tRNAs cope with the degeneracy of the genetic code in two manners: having more than one tRNA (with a specific anti-codon) for a particular amino acid; and 'wobble' base-pairing, i.e. permitting non-standard base-pairing at the 3rd anti-codon position.
Source: RNAcentral